This 1052-nucleotide ribosomal RNA is filed under the name Lactiplantibacillus plantarum. Its description in RNAcentral is "bacterial SSU rRNA". It matches the Rfam family "Bacterial small subunit ribosomal RNA", at positions 29 to 1048 of the family's 1533-position model. Lineage: Bacteria; Bacillati; Bacillota; Bacilli; Lactobacillales; Lactobacillaceae. The record is from RNAcentral.
UGGAACCUUGGCGGCGUGCCUAUACAUGCAAGUCGAACGAACUCUGGUAUUGAUUGGUGCUUGCAUCAUGAUUUACAUUUGAGUGAGUGGCGAACUGGUGAGUAACACGUGGGAAACCUGCCCAGAAGCGGGGGAUAACACCUGGAAACAGAUGCUAAUACCGCAUAACAACUUGGACCGCAUGGUCCGAGUUUGAAAGAUGGCUUCGGCUAUCACUUUUGGAUGGUCCCGCGGCGUAUUAGCUAGAUGGUGGGGUAACGGCUCACCAUGGCAAUGAUACGUAGCCGACCUGAGAGGGUAAUCGGCCACAUUGGGACUGAGACACGGCCCAAACUCCUACGGGAGGCAGCAGUAGGGAAUCUUCCACAAUGGACGAAAGUCUGAUGGAGCAACGCCGCGUGAGUGAAGAAGGGUUUCGGCUCGUAAAACUCUGUUGUUAAAGAAGAACAUAUCUGAGAGUAACUGUUCAGGUAUUGACGGUAUUUAACCAGAAAGCCACGGCUAACUACGUGCCAGCAGCCGCGGUAAUACGUAGGUGGCAAGCGUUGUCCGGAUUUAUUGGGCGUAAAGCGAGCGCAGGCGGUUUUUUAAGUCUGAUGUGAAAGCCUUCGGCUCAACCGAAGAAGUGCAUCGGAAACUGGGAAACUUGAGUGCAGAAGAGGACAGUGGAACUCCAUGUGUAGCGGUGAAAUGCGUAGAUAUAUGGAAGAACACCAGUGGCGAAGGCGGCUGUCUGGUCUGUAACUGACGCUGAGGCUCGAAAGUAUGGGUAGCAAACAGGAUUAGAUACCCUGGUAGUCCAUACCGUAAACGAUGAAUGCUAAGUGUUGGAGGGUUUCCGCCCUUCAGUGCUGCAGCUAACGCAUUAAGCAUUCCGCCUGGGGAGUACGGGCCGCAAGGCUGAAACUCAAAGGAAUUGACGGGGGCCCGCACAAGCGGUGGAGCAUGUGGUUUAAUUCGAAGCUACGCGAGACCUUACCAGGUCUUGACAUACUAUGCAAAUCUAGAGAUUAGACGUUCCCUUCGGGGACAUGGAUACAGGUGGUGCAUGG